ACUCCUACGGGAGGCAGCAGUGGGGAAUAUUGCACAAUGGGGGAAACCCUGAUGCAGCCAUGCCGCGUGUGUGAAGAAGGCCUUCGGGUUGUAAAGCACUUUCAGUAGGGAGGAAGGUAGUGUAGUUAACACCUGCAUUAUUUGACGUUACCUACAGAAGAAGCACCGCUGAACUCAUGCCAGCAGCCGCGGGUAAUACGGAGGGUGCGAGCGUUAAUCGGAAUUACUGGGCGUAAAGCGCAUGCAGGCGGCCUGUUAAGUCAGAUGUGAAAGCCCGGGGCUUAACCUCGGAAUUGCAUUUGAAACUGGCAGGCUAGAGUCUUGUAGAGGGGGGUAGAAUUUCAGGUGUAGCGGUGAAAUGCGUAGAGAUCUGAAGGAAUACCAGUGGCGAAGGNGGCCCCCUGGACAAAGACUGACGCUCAGAUGCGAAAGCGUGGGGAGC
RNAcentral lists this ribosomal RNA (442 nucleotides) under uncultured bacterium. RNAcentral describes it as "bacterial SSU rRNA". It matches the Rfam family "Bacterial small subunit ribosomal RNA", at positions 335 to 769 of the family's 1533-position model. The record is from RNAcentral.